RNAcentral lists this ribosomal RNA (1018 nucleotides) under uncultured bacterium. Its description in RNAcentral is "bacterial SSU rRNA". It matches the Rfam family "Bacterial small subunit ribosomal RNA", at positions 357 to 1376 of the family's 1533-position model. The record is from RNAcentral.
AGGAAUAUUGGUCAAUGGACGAGAGUCUGAACCAGCCAAGUAGCGUGAAGGAUGACUGCCCUAUGGGUUGUAAACUUCUUUUAUACGGGAAUAAAGUGAGGCACGUGUGCCUUUUUGUAUGUACCGUAUGAAUAAGGAUCGGCUAACUCCGUGCCAGCAGCCGCGGUAAUACGGAGGAUCCGAGCGUUAUCCGGAUUUAUUGGGUUUAAAGGGAGCGUAGGCGGACGCUUAAGUCAGUUGUGAAAGUUUGCGGCUCAACCGUAAAAUUGCAGUUGAUACUGGGUGUCUUGAGUACAGUAGAGGCAGGCGGAAUUCGUGGUGUAGCGGUGAAAUGCUUAGAUAUCACGAAGAACUCCGAUUGCGAAGGCAGCUUGCUGGACUGUAACUGACGCUGAUGCUCGAAAGUGUGGGUAUCAAACAGGAUUAGAUACCCUGGUAGUCCACACGGUAAACGAUGAAUACUCGCUGUUUGCGAUAUACGGCAAGCGGCCAAGCGAAAGCGUUAAGUAUUCCACCUGGGGAGUACGCCGGCAACGGUGAAACUCAAAGGAAUUGACGGGGGCCCGCACAAGCGGAGGAACAUGUGGUUUAAUUCGAUGAUACGCGAGGAACCUUACCCGGGCUUAAAUUGCACUCGAAUGAUCCGGAAACGGUUCAGCUAGCAAUAGCGAGUGUGAAGGUGCUGCAUGGUUGUCGUCAGCUCGUGCCGUGAGGUGUCGGCUUAAGUGCCAUAACGAGCGCAACCCUUGUUGUCAGUUACUAACAGGUGAUGCUGAGGACUCUGACAAGACUGCCAUCGUAAGAUGUGAGGAAGGUGGGGAGGACGUCAAAUCAGCACGGCCCUUACGUCCGGGGCUACACACGUGUUACAAUGGGGGGUACAGAGGGCCGCUACCACGCGAGUGGAUGCCAAUCCCUAAAACCCCUCUCAGUUCGGACUGGAGUCUGCAACCCGACUCCACGAAGCUGGAUUCGCUAGUAAUCGCGCAUCAGCCACGGCGCGGUGAAUACGUUCCCG